GGUAUCCCUGUUUUAUGCAGAUGAAGCAGAAGACUCUGUUAACUGAGAUUCCACUUUUCCUGAUAUUUAUUGUUGCCCAUCCACAACAGCAGAUCUGCCGUGGACGGUCCCAAGCCCGGCUGAGAAAGGAGGAGAGCCGGCAACUCCAUCCCUGAAAACCCAGAGCUACAGAAACACCAACAGGUGAUCCAAGGCCUCAUCGCCAGGAGAGGAAGGGUCUUCGAAGGUGGACUAUGUCUGAGGACAACUUGAAAGACUGGCACGACACUGAGGACUCUGGCGAACUGCUGACAGCGACCUGUGCCUGGUAGGGGGGAUGGACGUCAGUGACGAUGGAAAUGGUUACAUCCCGACACGCGGGACAGAAGCAAGGUCGCAUUGUGUACUCCAGGGACCAGCUAAUGCCGGCCGGUUUAGCGAGCAGAGCGGCGGACACCCCUGCUGAAAUCCGGAGGAAAACACACAGAGGAUGCAGAGGGGGAUCACAAAGCUGAGGAAAGAGGACCGGGUCGAGACAACAGAGACUUAUGGAGAAGAGGAGUUCGGUGGGUAAUACCGUUCCGGCUGACCGGAAGUGCACUGAGAGCGGUGGAAAACUCUGCUCCGAGGAUCGUCACCUUGGCGUGGUGUGAGGCUUGUAGGUUCCUGAGAUCCCGAGGGAUGCUGUCUGGAGCUUGGCUCCUGGUAGGAUCUCCCAUGGUGGCAAGGUCAAGGAGCAGGUUCUGGACAAAGAACAAACAAACCAAAACUUCAGUGGAGCUGGUAGAAGGUGGUAACACAUCACAACAGCAGUGUAUACAGAAGAAAGCUUCCCACCCUCCUGGCUUCACCUAUCACCUUCCAGCUAUCCCCCUUCCCCACCUCCCACCUUUUUAUUCUGUCUUCUUCCCUCUUCCUUUUCAGUUCUGAUGUAGGG
Molecule: long non-coding RNA, 916 nt
Organism: Mobula hypostoma (lesser devil ray)
Lineage: Eukaryota; Metazoa; Chordata; Chondrichthyes; Myliobatiformes; Myliobatidae
Exons: 3
Source: RefSeq, a predicted model, not a curated record